CCUACGGGAGGCAGCAGUGGGGAAUUUUCCGCAAUGGGCGAAAGCCUGACGGAGCAAGACCGCGUGGGGGAGGAAGGUUCUUGGAUUGUCAACCCCUUUUCUCAAGGAAGAAUACAAUGACGGUACUUGAGGAAUAAGCAUCGGCUAACUCCGUGCCAGCAGCCGCGGUAAUACGGAGGAUGCAAGCGUUAUCCGGAAUGAUUGGGCGUAAAGAGUCCGUAGGUGGCUCCUCAAGUCUAUUGUUAAAGCGCGAGGCUUAACCUCGUUCAGGCCGUAGAAACUGAGGAGCUCGAGAGCAGUAGGGGCAGAAGGAAUUCCUGGUGUAGCGGUGAAAUGCGUAGAGAUCAGGAAGAACACCGGUGGCGAAAGCGUUCUGCUGGGCUGCAUUCUGACACUGAGGGACGAAAGCUAGGGGAGCGAAUGGGAUUAGAUACCCCUGUAGUC
This 444-nucleotide ribosomal RNA is filed under the name uncultured cyanobacterium. RNAcentral describes it as "bacterial SSU rRNA". It matches the Rfam family "Bacterial small subunit ribosomal RNA", at positions 338 to 795 of the family's 1533-position model. The record is from RNAcentral. Lineage: Bacteria; Bacillati; Cyanobacteriota.